This 253-nucleotide ribosomal RNA is filed under the name uncultured bacterium. RNAcentral's name for it is "partial 16S ribosomal RNA". It matches the Rfam family "Bacterial small subunit ribosomal RNA", at positions 524 to 776 of the family's 1533-position model. The record is from RNAcentral.
UACAGAGGGGGCAAGCGUUGUUCGGAAUUACUGGGCGUAAAGGGCGCGUAGGUGGCCUCCUAAGUCGAACGUGAAAUCCCUGGGCUUAACCCAGGAACUGCGUCCGAGACUGGGAGGCUUGAAUCCGGGAGAGGGAUGCGGAAUUCCAGGUGUAGCGGUGAAAUGCGUAGAUAUCUGGAGGAACACCGGUGGCGAAGGCGGCAUCCUGGACCGGUAUUGACACUGAGGCGCGAAAGCCAGGGGAGCAAACGGG